GAACAAACCUUCUGCACCCCGAUCCGGCCUAGUUCGCUGGCGUCUCCACCCGAUCGACUCCACUGCAGUAUGCUAUAGCCCGUGGAGCCUGGGGCGUUGGUUGUCCGGCAGUCGAUUCCCGCGGGAUCUGCCGGGGCGCCCGGAGCCGGAGAAGGCGACGAUGUCAACCCCUGCAAGGAAGAGGCUGAUGAGGGAUUUCAAACGACUGAUGCAGGAUCCUCCUGCGGGCAUAAGUGGUGCACCUCAGGAUAACAAUAUAAUGCUGUGGAAUGCUGUAAUUUUUGGUCCUGAUGAUACUCCCUGGGAUGGUGUUUAUGCAGAUGGAAGCAUAUGUUUAGAUAUUCUCCAAAACCAGUGGAGCCCGAUAUAUGAUGUAGCUGCUAUAUUGACAUCCAUUCAGUCACUGCUUUGCGACCCAAACCCAAAUUCACCUGCCAACUCAGAAGCCGCCCGCCUAUUCAGCGAGAACAAGCGGGAAUACAACCGUAAAGUACGCGAGGUUGUGGAGCAAAGCUGGACUGCAGACUAAAGUCGCUGCAUCCAGUUGUGAUGCCAGCUAAUUGCCCGUUAGCGCCUUGAGUCCUAUGUACUGAACUGCUUGCAAGAUCGAGCACAAUAUGGAUUUGCUAUAUGUUAGCUCUGUUGUACUGAAUGAUACUGCUGAGCAUAAGUUCUUCCAAGGAAGCCUCUUUUUAGCUACCAGAGGAACUGCUCAGAGCCUCAGUCAGAGCAACAUCCUUUGAUCUUCCAAACAUGGCAGCCAAGAGGCGCGGGCACCUUCUCUUACGUUGUGGAAACCGCGACCGCCUUACUAGAGUUUAUUUCUUGAGACUAUUGGGGUAGGUGUUGAGAAAAUAGCGCCUUCAGUUCGUUUGUCUAAGCCGGGUAGAUGCUCAAUGUGAGUGUUCCUUAAGAACCCGAGCUUGAGCUUCUCUGGGUGUGGAAAGAUGCAAAGCAUUACAAACAAAAAGACAAGGAGGCACGCAAUUGAAGUACUGGAAUGAAGUUCUAUGUUUGC
RNAcentral lists this ribosomal RNA (1018 nucleotides) under Triticum aestivum (bread wheat). Its description in RNAcentral is "partial small subunit ribosomal RNA". The record is from RNAcentral. Lineage: Eukaryota; Viridiplantae; Streptophyta; Magnoliopsida; Poales; Poaceae.